RNAcentral lists this long non-coding RNA (396 nucleotides) under Carica papaya (papaya). RNAcentral describes it as "long non-coding RNA (CPAP_LNC016678)". The record is from RNAcentral. Lineage: Eukaryota; Viridiplantae; Streptophyta; Magnoliopsida; Brassicales; Caricaceae.
GUAACUAUUCGAGAAAAUGCUAAGAGUAAAAGUCAGAUGAUCAACAACAAUGUAAGACUUAUCCUUUGAUUAGAAAUGUCUCUGUUCAUAAACAUUCACCUCAAGAAGGUUGGUCUUCUGCAACUCCUCAAAAAAUACCUCCUUCAUUAACCCAUAUUCACUUAAGCCCAAGAAGUUUUGGAUGCAUCAAUUUCCUAAACCAUAUAUAUAUAUAUAUAUAGCUAUUAUUAAAUUAAAAUUGAUUUUCAUAAAAUAUUAAAUUAAAAACUUUUUUUAAAAUUAUAAACAUCAUUAUUUAAAUAAAAUAAAAUGAUUUACGAGGUUCGCAUAUUUGGGAGAAAAUUCCAUUCUAUAGACAAAUCUUACCAUCUAUCAACUCGUUUUCCUUCCUUCCCG